This is a long non-coding RNA of Hydra vulgaris (swiftwater hydra), 556 nucleotides long. RefSeq lists it as uncharacterized. Lineage: Eukaryota; Metazoa; Cnidaria; Hydrozoa; Anthoathecata; Hydridae. The record is from RefSeq and is a predicted model, not a curated record.
AAAGACGUGGAAAGACGUCUUUUGAAAAGACGUCUUCAAAAAAGAGGUCAAAAAGACGUCAAUCGGUUGUUAAUAAGGAAAUCAUUAUUUGCUUAAGAAAAUUAAAAAUAAUUAUUGCCAAUAGAACCUAACAAAAAUGGGUUUUGACCCACAGUAUCGUAAUUACGAUAUCUUUGUUACGUUCUGAUUCUGUUUACAAAAUUCUUUUAUAUAACUUUUAUGUGAAACGUUUUUGCUUAGGAAAUUUAAUUAAAAAUUAACUUUUUUCGACUGUUUACCGUUUAAAUCCUGUCCCAAUCUAACGUAGUGAGUUCAAAAAGAAGGGACCGCGCUGGAAACAUGAGUGGAUUAAAAGGAUCAACCCUUUUUGAAUUAAUAGUCGAAGUGGUAACCAGCUAGAAGUCAUAACCUGCUCGUAUGAAAAGGAUUUCUCGACGUGAAAUUGUUAAUUUUAUUCAAAAACGCCAAGAAACAGAGCUCGGUCAAGAAACAGAAAAGGAAGAGAAAGAUGAAAAAAUAUUCUGUUGAACAAUACUAUUGUUUUAUUUAUAAAUUA